AUUGAACGCUGGCGGCAGGCCUAACACAUGCAAGUCGAGCGGAUGAAGGGAGCUUGCUCCUGGAUUCAGCGGCGGACGGGUGAGUAAUGCCUAGGAAUCUGCCUGGUAGUGGGGGAUAACGUCCGGAAACGGGCGCUAAUACCGCAUACGUCCUGAGGGAGAAAGUGGGGGAUCUUCGGACCUCACGCUAUCAGAUGAGCCUAGGUCGGAUUAGCUAGUUGGUGGGGUAAAGGCCUACCAAGGCGACGAUCCGUAACUGGUCUGAGAGGAUGAUCAGUCACACUGGAACUGAGACACGGUCCAGACUCCUACGGGAGGCAGCAGUGGGGAAUAUCGGACAAUGGGCGAAAGCCUGAUCCAGCCAUGCCGCGUGUGUGAAGAAGGUCUUCGGAUUGUAAAGCACUUUAAGUUGGGAGGAAGGGCAGUAAGUUAAUACCUUGCUGUUUUGACGGUACCAACAGAAUAAGCACCGGCUAACUUCGUG
Molecule: ribosomal RNA, 484 nt
Filed under: uncultured bacterium
Lineage: Bacteria
Description: partial 16S ribosomal RNA
Rfam family: Bacterial small subunit ribosomal RNA
Source: RNAcentral